UUACGCGAUGAAAAAGAGCAACCUGCUCGAUAACCCAGCUCGUCGAGGCGGGAGUAACGCCCCAAAGCCUUUGAGAUUAUUUUUUCUCUGACUCAAUUAUUCAUCCUUGUUGAGGUAAACCUGACAUACUUUUCGUUCAGAUUGA
RNAcentral lists this small nucleolar RNA (145 nucleotides) under Serpula lacrymans var. lacrymans S7.3. Its description in RNAcentral is "A. fumigatus snoRNA Afu_304". It matches the Rfam family "A. fumigatus snoRNA Afu_304". Lineage: Eukaryota; Fungi; Basidiomycota; Agaricomycetes; Boletales; Serpulaceae. The record is from Rfam by way of RNAcentral.